GGUUCGCUAUUUACUUGACCCAGAGAACCCCACAAAAUCAUGCAAAUCAAGAGGUUCAAAUCUUCAUGUUCACUUGGAGAACACUCAUGAAACUGCCCAGGCCAUCAAGGGUAUGUAUAUAUGAAAAUCCACGAAGUAUCUGAAAGAUGUCACUUUACAGAAACUGUGUGUACCAUUCCAACAUUACAAUGGUGGAGUUGGCAGGUGUGCCCAGGCCAAGCAGUGGGGCUGGACACAAAGUCAGUGGCCCAGAAAAAGUGCUGAAUUUUUGCUGUACAUGCUUAAAAAUGCAGAGAGUAAAAUGCAGAGAGUAAUGCUGAACUUAAGGGUUAUAUGUAGAUUCUCUGGUCAUUGAGCAUAUCCAAGUGAACAAAGUACCUAAGAUGCGUCGCCAGACCUACGGAACUCCGGUCGGAUUAACCCAUGAAUGAGUUCUCCCUGCCACACUGAGAUGAUUCUUACUGAAAAGGAACAGAUUUUUCCUAAGCCAGAGGAGGAGGUUGCCCAAAAGAAAAAGAUAUCCCAAGAAAAAAAAAAAGAAAGAAAAAGAUAUCCCAGAAGAAACUGAAGAAACAAAAACUUAUGGCAUGGGAG
RNAcentral lists this long non-coding RNA (594 nucleotides) under Homo sapiens (human). Its description in RNAcentral is "non-protein coding lnc-ANGPTL4-3:1". The record is from RNAcentral. Lineage: Eukaryota; Metazoa; Chordata; Mammalia; Primates; Hominidae.